Dreissena polymorpha is the source of this 2177-nucleotide long non-coding RNA. RefSeq lists it as uncharacterized. The transcript has 9 exons. The record is from RefSeq and is a predicted model, not a curated record. Lineage: Eukaryota; Metazoa; Mollusca; Bivalvia; Myida; Dreissenidae.
AAAAAAGUCUCCUAUUUCAUCAAGAAAAGUACACUGAUUCACAAUCAAUACAUUUAUUUGGGCCUUUUGCUGAUAUAUUGGUGAAUUUCGCAUGCAAUGAUACCAGUUUUUGCCAUGAAAGUUACGCGUAACAAUAAUUGGAGACGCAAAAUCAGCUGUCGUCACUUAGACUAAAAAUCAUGCAUUCCGACUUGACUGCGGCCAAUUUAGUCACCGCUUUAAAUGGCCAUUUUAAGGCCUUUACCCCCAUCCGAAUGCACUGAAAUUGCAUAUUCAUUGUGGAAAUAGUUGAAAUCUCAUGUGGAGAAAGUUUGAAAAAGAUAGGACAAAGUUGAGUUCCCUUAAAGGUUACAUUACACUAAAUCAUUGUGUAUCCCUCCGUGGUCCAUUCGAAAGUAGUGCCUAUUUCUAAAGAGUUCCUUUUCUCUUCUUGAAUAUAAGCCAUUUAACAAUGUGAGACAUGACUUUUGUGGUUAUUUGUAAUAUCCUGUAUGUGUCUGGAGUACUUUGAUGCCUUGGAUUGGAAGCUAACUUAAAAGAUGAACUUUUGAGGGUGUGUUUUCUAUUGUGUGGGGCUUUUGUCGAAAUUAGGAUUCCGAAACACGUUUUUCUACGGUGGGUUCAUUCGACAGCGAUUUACUUUCUUAGAAGUUGCGAGACGGUAUGUUUUUGAUUGCAAUUAUUGGAAGAUGACAGAUCCAUCUUUAAAAUGAUACCAGGUUCGGAAAAAUUGAUACGUCGGAAAGGCAAGAAAAAUGCUGUGAAAGUUGUCAGUUUUAUAAUGGGACCCUAUGGGAAUCGGAAUUAGUGUAAUAUAACCUUUAAAAAGCACAUUUACUGCAAUGUCAAGGUCACAUGGAUUCGUCUGCAAGCGAGACAAGUAGAAAAUGAAUUUUAAUGAAUGUUUUGAUGAUUUGGGUGCUAAAAUAGAUGAGAGGUGUCAAUAUUUUGGUCCAAAUGGAUGUUUUAGGUGGUUUUAGACGGUUCCGGAUGGGUGGGGGACCUGGUAUGGACAAGUAAGGGUAACAUUUCCAACAAAUCUUAAAUGUAAAUAUUAUUAUGUCCAUAGAUUGAAGUUUCAGGUGGAGAGCAAGAUGAAAAAUAUGCAAAAUUACAUGCAUGCAACCCAUUUAUGCCAUUUUUCUCUUUGUUUGUAGGCCUGACCGUUUGUCCUUGAGCCGUAGAUGGUCAACAAUCCGCUAGCUGUCUUGCUCUGACUGGUGCACUGGACAUGAUUUCAAUAGUCAGCCAGACCAUGAUUGAGCUUAAGGAUUGUGCUGCGGAUGCAGCCUGUGCAGUUCCGGGAGAAAGUCACUGUCUCGGGCAAUGCGGUCUGGUAUCAGGUCUGGAUGAUCCUUGCCUGACUGCGGGUUUGUGUACACCUCAAUCCGACUCUGUGUCCUGAACAGAGGCCGCAGUGGUGCAGCGCUUGUGGACGAUCCAUCAACAUCCUGAAAGGUCAACACUACACCAAGCUGGGAAAAUUGAUCCUGAUAGUCAUCCCCAGGCCUGACCGUUUGUCCUUGAGCCGUAGAUGGUCAACAAUCCGCUAGCUGUCUUGCUCUGACUGGUGCACUGGACAUGAUUUCAAUAGUCAGCCAGACCAUGAUUGAGCUUAAGGAUUGUGCUGCGGAUGCAGCCUGUGCAGUUCCGGGAGAAAGUCACUGUCUCGGGCAAUGCGGUCUGGUAUCAGGUCUGGAUGAUCCUUGCCUGACUGCGGGUUUGUGUACACCUCAAUCCGACUCUGUGUCCUGAACAGAGGCCGCAGUGGUGCAGCGCUUGUGGACGAUCCAUCAACAUCCUGAAAGGUCAACACUACACCAAGCUGGGAAAAUUGAUCCUGAUAGUCAUUCCCAGGCCUGACCGUUUGUCCUUGAGCCGUAGAUGGUCAACAAUCCGCUAGCUGUCUUGCUCUGACUGGUGCACUGGACAUGAUUUCAAUAGUCAGCCAGACCAUGAUUGAGCUUAAGGAUUGUGCUGCGGAUGCAGCCUGUGCAGUUCCGGGAGAAAGUCACUGUCUCGGGCAAUGCGGUCUGGUAUCAGGUCUGGAUGAUCCUUGCCUGACUGCGGGUUUGUGUACACCUCAAUCCGACUCUGUGUCCUGAACAGAGGCCGCAGUGGUGCAGCGCUUGUGGACGAUCCAUCAACAUCCUAAAGGUCAACACUACACCAAGCUG